RNAcentral lists this ribosomal RNA (253 nucleotides) under uncultured bacterium. RNAcentral's name for it is "partial 16S ribosomal RNA". It matches the Rfam family "Bacterial small subunit ribosomal RNA", at positions 524 to 776 of the family's 1533-position model. The record is from RNAcentral.
UACAGAGGUCUCAAGCGUUGUUCGGAUUCAUUGGGCGUAAAGGGUGUGUAGGCGGAUUGUUAAGUCAGGGGUGAAAUCCUGGAGCUCAACUCCAGAACUGCCUUUGAUACUGGCGAUCUUGAGUCCGGGAGAGGUGAGUGGAACUGCGAGUGUAGAGGUGAAAUUCGUAGAUAUUCGCAAGAACACCAGUGGCGAAGGCGGCUCACUGGCCCGGUACUGACGCUGAGGUGCGAAAGCGUGGGGAGCAAACAGG